RNAcentral lists this transfer RNA (85 nucleotides) under Felis catus (domestic cat). It matches the Rfam family "tRNA". Rfam says of the family: Transfer RNA (tRNA) molecules are approximately 80 nucleotides in length. Their secondary structure includes four short double-helical elements and three loops (D, anti-codon, and T loops). Further hydrogen bonds mediate the characteristic L-shaped molecular structure. tRNAs have two regions of fundamental functional importance: the anti-codon, which is responsible for specific mRNA codon recognition, and the 3' end, to which the tRNAs corresponding amino acid is attached (by aminoacyl-tRNA synthetases). tRNAs cope with the degeneracy of the genetic code in two manners: having more than one tRNA (with a specific anti-codon) for a particular amino acid; and 'wobble' base-pairing, i.e. permitting non-standard base-pairing at the 3rd anti-codon position. The record is from Rfam by way of RNAcentral. Lineage: Eukaryota; Metazoa; Chordata; Mammalia; Carnivora; Felidae.
ACCUGAGUGGCUCAGUCGGUUAAGCGUCUGACUUCAGCUCAGGUCACGAUCUCACGGUUUGUGGGUUCAAGCCCCACAUCAGGCU